Molecule: transfer RNA, 89 nt
Filed under: Lujinxingia litoralis
Lineage: Bacteria; Deltaproteobacteria; Bradymonadales; Lujinxingiaceae
Also listed under: 4 other names
Description: Bradymonadales bacterium B210 tRNA-Leu
Rfam family: tRNA
About the family: Transfer RNA (tRNA) molecules are approximately 80 nucleotides in length.
Source: RNAcentral
GCGGAAGUGGCGGAAUUGGUAGACGCGCUGGACUAAGGAUCCAGUGGGCGUAAAAGCCCGUGGGGGUUCGACUCCCCCCUUCCGCAUCA